This 127-nucleotide small RNA is filed under the name uncultured Blautia sp. Its description in RNAcentral is "Ribosomal protein L10 leader". It matches the Rfam family "Ribosomal protein L10 leader". Rfam says of the family: This family is a putative r-protein leader autoregulatory structure found in B. subtilis and other low-GC Gram-positive bacteria. It is located in the 5' untranslated regions of mRNAs encoding ribosomal proteins L10 and L12 (rplJ-rplL). The record is from RNAcentral. Lineage: Bacteria; Bacillati; Bacillota; Clostridia; Lachnospirales; Lachnospiraceae.
AUCUAAGAACGCUGCCGAAGACAGUAGGUGCCGUAAGGCAUAAGGGUUAAAACGCCUACCGAGGACUAAGUAUUCUAUUAAGAUUACACAAGGUCUGAUUGUCAUGCAGUCAGGCUUUUUUAUUUUG